This 519-nucleotide ribosomal RNA is filed under the name uncultured eukaryote. RNAcentral describes it as "SSU rRNA". It matches the Rfam family "Eukaryotic small subunit ribosomal RNA", at positions 1161 to 1699 of the family's 1831-position model. The record is from RNAcentral.
AGGGCACCACCAGGAGUGGAGCCUGCGGCUUAAUUUGACUCAACACGGGAAAACUCACCCGGCCCGGACACUGGAAGGAUUGACAGAUUGAGAGCUCUUUCUUGAUUCAGUGGGUGGUGGUGCAUGGCCGUUCUUAGUUGGUGGAGUGAUUUGUCUGGUUAAUUCCGAUAACGAACGAGACUCUAGCCUACUAAAUAGAUCGUCGGCUUACAAACGCCGGCGAGACUUCUUAGAGGGACAGGCGGUGAUUCAACCGCACGAAACAGAGCAAUAACAGGUCUGUGAUGCCCUUAGAUGUCCGGGGCCGCACGCGCGCUACAUUGAAGUGAUCAGCGUGCUUUUUCAACCUACUCUGUCAAGAGUGGGGAACCCAAUGAACCUUCUUCGUGAUUGGGAUAGGGGAUUGUAAUUAUUCCCCUUGAACGAGGAAUUCCCAGUAAGCGCGAGUCAUAAGCUCGCGUUGAUUACGUCCCUGCCCUUUGUACACACCGCCCGUCGCUACUACCGAUUGAAUGUUUU